Monodelphis domestica (gray short-tailed opossum) is the source of this 1348-nucleotide long non-coding RNA. RefSeq lists it as uncharacterized. The record is from RefSeq and is a predicted model, not a curated record. NCBI's taxonomy places the organism in Eukaryota, Metazoa, Chordata, Mammalia, Didelphimorphia, Didelphidae.
GGGCCUGCGAGAAAACAGAUGGGGACACAGUGUUAAGGGAGUAGCCCCGGGCGAAGCACAGCAACGCUUGAGUUCUGGGCCCAAGGGUGACGUGACGGACUGGCAAUCCCAGCUCUAGCUUCACCCUUUGGUCCUUGGGGGGAUCGUGGCCCUCCUUCUGAGGAGAGUGGACAGGAUAUGGGGAAGGCUGGAGAGAGGGACACCCAGACAGGGAGCACCUAGUGUAAGGAGGACUGAUGGGAAAGUAGACACUCAACCGGCAAAGGAUUCUGGGGACAGUCAAUGUGGUGAGACACCCAAACAGGAGAAUCCAGUGGCACCUCUUGGGGAGUCUGGAGAGGCUUUCGGAGAACCCUAGUCAUUCCAAGAACAAAAGAGGAAGGGGGGCCCUCAGGCCUCAGAGAUGAGACAAGGAGGCCACAGAGGCAGAGGACACAUGCAAAAAGCUCGAGAAUCCCAGAAAGGAAGAGGAACGAGGGAUACCCAGAUGGUCCCAGGACCAGAAGAGGGGAGACAUCCAGGGAGAGGACAGAUGAACAGCGACCAGAACUAGGCAAAUGGAUGGGAGUCAAAUGGACAGCCUUAAGAAGACAGAAGAAACACUCCGGACAGUUUGGGAGCAGGACCUGGACAGAGAAGAGAGGGCAGAUCCUGGGAGUUGAGGGAUGUGAGAGAGAGGCAAGCAGGAAUCUGACUCAAGGACAGAGGGGGAACCCAAGUCCACAUACAGGGAGAGCCCCUUAGAUAGCAGCAAGAACCCGACCCAGCUCUCCAGAUCUGAACCUUCUAUUCUACAUCCCAAAGAACUCAAGCCUUCCAGUCCACCCUCCGCCCCCCAACCAGCUCUCAUCAGCCCCUGAUGUUGGAUAAUGAAGCCUCUAAAUAAUUCAUUGGGAUUAAUUAAAUGCCAAUUCGUCAAUGGUCUCAAUGGGUAACCAGGGGCCAAGAGAAAAAGGGAGAAGGGAAGCAAAUGAGGACCCAGGUAUCCAGCUCCCCAGCCCAUCAGCCUCCAGUCUUCCCCCUCCCACUUCCUCCAGUCUCCCAAGAGCUUCCAUGGCUCCAGCCCUCCCACUAUCCCUUUUCCCCUCCCUAGCCACUCAGCAAUCGAGGAGAGAUGAUCUACCCUCCCACUCCUACUUCCUAGCCCCGAGUUCCCACCCCCUCGAGAAGCCCCAACGCAAAGGAUGUCUUCAACUUCCCUCCAAUGCCCUCUCCCCCUGGGGCCCGGAUUGACCCCUAUAGCAUCCGCUUCCCCACCCCCAUCCCACUUUCCCAGUCCCCCCAGCACUGGAAGAGCCACCAACCAUUAGACAAGUAGGUUCAUUUGCAUAAAAUUGCCUUUCUGAAA